CGCCAACAACAGACUCCUCCUUCUUUGACAGCUCUUUCAACAGCACGACGUAUCUUGGCCGAGAUUCCGCCUUUUACUGCUGAUGUAGUGAAGCUUCCGGCCACUGCUUCCACAGCAAGACAGGUCCUAAGGUAGUUUUAGUGUACCUCUUCUUCUAUUCUAGUAUGCCACUCUAUACCUUAGUAUCCCGAUCUAGUGAGUUGUCAGAAUCUUCCUUGUCUAAAUCAAAGUCUUGAUCUUCUCCUAUCUUUCGGCAAGAGUAGGUCCCUUAUUGUGAUCUUUUCUUCAGUCUUACGUCACCGAGGGAAAUUAGCCAAUCAGUAUGUAGUUAGCCUUUGUCGACUCUUCCUUUGUUUCCUCCACUAGGCUUGGUCGAGUGAGCUUUUGCUUCCUCCACUAGGCUUGGUCGAGUGAGCUUUUGCUUCCUCCACUAGGGUCUCAUAGUAUGGCCCUUCCAGUUUAGAGUAUAGAGAGAAAUGCCAUAUAUAAGAUAGAAUAUGAAAUCUUAGUAGUAAGUACCCUUUAUUGAGUCCCUUUCUUCCUUCUAAGGAGUAACGAAUUGGAUUUGAACCAAUGCUUCGGGUCUAGUGACUUUCCCCGUGAACUUCCAUUAUUCGAUCGUUACAGAAAAGCCUGUUGAAAUCGAUUGCUUUGCUCUACUCUAUAUCGAGGAGCCUUGCAGAGACAGAGAAUAGAAAAGAAAAAAAGAGCGAUUGAGAAUCUCGAGAACCUUUCUGAACGUCUGGGGCAAUUUGAAAAGGAGUAUAUCUUUCUUGUAGUGCCUUCCAUUCCACUAUUCUGAUCAAGAAAGAAUCUCUUCCGAACGACCAAGUAAUAAUGAGAUUAAAAACCGAUGCUUCUUUGGCCGUGUGGAACAUGGAUUAGCAUUAUGUCAUUCCUACAAGUGAUCCCCCAUCCAGGAUUGGAAGAAGUGCUAUAUGAGGACUUCGAGAUCAAAUAGAAUAUGUUUCUUUCCAUUCCUCGUGAGCCACUUAUUUCUCCGAAACAAGAGAUCAAAGUUAUCUUCCUCCUUUUUCCCAAUAAGUCGACGGCCUUACACCAUUGGGAUACUUCGAAUAAACUGGAGUACAUAUAGGAUACACCGGUGCUAAAACCUUUUCUCAAGAUAUCUUCCAAACUGUUGGGGUCGCUGCUCCGGAUGUUGUUCUCCCGGUGUGAAACCAGUUGGUUCCGUAGUUUUAGAAUUCUGCUGAUCCCAAGUAGUCCAUCUCCAUCAUUGCAUAUGGGAAUAUAGAAAGUAAAGAGGAAAAGGCAUGACCAGAAGAAUUGUGUGAAAUAAGUGAAUUUAUCCAGUUGAGGCAUCUUGAUUGAAAAACAAAGGAUUCCCUCCAGACAGAAAGAGAGUCCUUCCUGUCGCCGACUGAAGAACCUAACGGAACUUUUCAAAGACCAGGGCGGUUGCCGCUUUCAAGACUAGAACGAAGGUCGAAUCGUACGAAGACAUCUGUACGAGCCGUGUCAUAAGACCAUCCAGGGGUCAAUGCUGAAUAUCUCUGCACAUACAUACAUAUGCAUAACAUAAUAACAUGCAUGAUACAAUAGAUGGCAAUAUGAUAUAGGGAAUGGAAAAUUGUACAUACAUUCCUAAGUAUAUCAUCAUCUAAUACAUCUCUCUACAGCUAAAAUACAGGGAAAUGGGGCGAAGCUACCCAACAUCUCAACAGAGGACUAUCAAAAGAUAUAGCGAGAAUGGGGCGAAGCUACCCAGCAGCUAACAAAGGCCUAUCAAAAGAGAUAACAUGAAUACAUCAGAAGAAGUCAAUGGUAUCGAUGUCUACAUCGUCAAUCCUGUCCACCUGAUGUAACUCCUCCUGAGUCACUGGAUCUCUGUCUACAGGGAUGUCAGGCCUAUACAAGGGAGGAUCUGCACCGGCAAAGCCAUAUGGGUCACCUGAGGGGCCAGCGCCAGAGCUGGAAGGAUCAAAAGUAUCUACCUCUGAAGGAUCUCUACCCAAGUGCCGGAUAAAGAAAUGUACCCAACCCAACUGUCGGGUCAAAUUUUUAAUCUAUGUCACAUGAGUCGGAUCUCUGACACAGGCUAGCCAAUCCAUCAUCAUCACGGAUCCUAGAACCAUAUCCCCCAUAAACUGUGUGGCGCGGGUCUGAGCUCCAAUGGUACGAGGGAUCCACCAAUGCUGGAACAUCUCCUGAGUGCAGGACCCUAUGACAUUGUAAAACCGUCAAUCCCCAACAAUGGGAUGUCAAUGAUGGGUGACUGCAAAACAGGCCAAUAACGCCUGGCAGGAGGCAAGAUCGGCAUGCGAAUCUCUCAUGUAGUGCUCCUGAUAGCACGCUCUCCUAAAUAGAGCUCUCAUCCUCCAUCUGUGAAGAGAGGAAUCCUAUGGGUGGAAAUAACGUACUCAACUCCAAUCGAGUACCCAUCCUCAAAUCCAACACUCAAGUGCUCCCCAGAAUAGGGAACCCAUGUGAUGACAUCCGCUGUCAACAACUCCAGCUGUAGGCGGCAAUUAGUGAAACUCUCAGCUACAGGGACCUCCACCAGUNNNNNNNNNNNNNNNNNNNNNNNNNNNNNNNNNNNNNNNNNNNNNNNNNNNNNNNNNNNNNNNNNNNNNNNNNNNNNNNNNNNNNNNNNNNNNNNNNNNNUGCUGCUAUACUUUAUAUGGCAUGUAAUAAUUUGAGUAUGAAUAUUGUCGUAUUAUAUACAUUACAAUAUUUGUAUUGAAACUCACAGUAUAUAUGUCGUUGUAUUUUGCACGACAGUUGUAGUACUAAAGUUGUAGUUGUGUUUCCGUACCAUGUAUUUGGCGACUCAUAAUAGGUUGGAUGGAUUGGACCUAUUUUGGGGGCGUUACAGCAGCAUCGUCAACCGUGCAUACUCCUCCAAAGUAGGAGUUAACUCUUAGGUCCCGAAUCAAAAAACCUGUCUCUCCGGUACCCAAUGCUCUAGCAUACCCUCUAUGAACCUUGUGGGAACCUGAAACAUCAACAAGGUCAUAGUGUGCUGCAACAAAUGAUCUACAGUCACCCUGUCUGGUGGUGACAUACUAUCAUACCAUGAGAGCAUACCAGAUGCCACCAAAAAUGGUGGGGUAUGAUCAAUACAGCUAACUGUCGAAGAGUAAAGAGGAAAAGGCAUGACCAGAAGAAUUGUGUGAAAUAAGUGAAUUUAUCCAGUUGAGGCAUCUUGAUUGAAAAACAAAGGAUUCCCUCCAGACAGAAAGAGAGUCCUUCCUGUACGAGUAGUGAAGAACUAUAGAGAACUUUUGUUGUUUUGUUUGUUGUUGUCCGACGGAAAGCAUGGGAGAAAGAAAGAUGCACCGCGUUACCUGUAUUCUUUUAGAAUGCUAAUAAGAUUCGAGUAAAUGGUAUUAUUCCGGAACUCGUCGAUGCCUGCGAAGUCGUCCGUAAGCGUUUGAUGAACAGUUCUAAGCAGAGGGAGACUAAGCUCCCGCUUAAACCCGGCAUCCUGGGUAAUUGCCCCUACCAUUUUUGACAAGAAAACGUCGGUGUCUACAUAAAAAGGGCGGGCUUUGGGAAAUUCCGCGAGGGUGAGCUAACUCCAAAAACCCGUCCUCAGUUCGGAUUGCAGGCUGCAACUCGCCUGCAUGAAGCCGGAAUCGCUAGUAAUCGCCGGUCAGCCAUACGGCGGUGAAUUCGUUCCCGGGCCUUGUACACACCGCCCGUCACACUAUGGGAGCUGGCCAUGCCCGAAGUCGUUACCUUAACCGCAAGGAGGGGGANNNNNNNNNNNNNNNNNNNNNNNNNNNNNNNNNNNNNNNNNNNNNNNNNNNNNNNNNNNNNNNNNNNNNNNNNNNNNNNNNNNNNNNNNNNNNNNNNNNNACCACCAAUGCUGGAACAUCUCCUGAGUGCAGGACCCUAUGACAUUGUAAAACCGUCAAUCCCCAACAAUGGGAUGUCAAUGAUGGGUGACUGCAAAACAGGCCAAUAACGCCUGGCAGGAGGCAAGAUCGGCAUGCGAAUCUCUCAUGUAGUGCUCCUGAUAGCACGCUCUCCUAAAUAGAGCUCUCAUCCUCCAUCUGUGAAGAGAGGAAUCCUAUGGGUGGAAAUAACGUACUCAACUCCAAUCGAGUACCCAUCCUCAAAUCCAACACUCAAGUGCUCCCCAGAAUAGGGAACCCAUGUGAUGACAUCCGCUGUCAACAACUCCAGCUGUAGGCGGCAAUUAGUGAAACUCUCAGCUACAGGGACCUCCACCAGUAUGGAAAGAUGCCAUCUUCGUCCUCCUGGAUAGGUGUCUAAACCUAGCACGCUCACAGGAUGCAAACAUGGAAGCCUCUCAUAGGCCCAAAACUGCUAACACAAAGGCAAACAUCUGUUGUCAGUCAACGCUCUUAACUUGUACAUGGGAAAAGACAAGAGAAAUACUCACCAGCAGAAAUGGGUAGAAUCCUAACCAAGCCUCGGUCAAGCCCUACGAUUGCAUGUGCAUUCCCCUGAGGAAAUAUGCAAAGGUGUAGGAACCCUAAUCAUAGUCUCUUAUACGGUCCACGUGUCGAGUGGCGCUAAUCAAAGCAAAGGACACCAUAGAAGAGUUAUCUACUAUGAAGCAGCCCCUAAUGAUCAUCAGGAACAAUCGCCGAAGAAUGUGAUCCCUGACUCUCACAUCAUCGGGUAUAGGCUCACUCAAUAGCCCGCUCAUAGCAUCUACGCUCAAAGGACCUGCACGAACAGUCCUGCCCUUAAGCGCCUCCGUUGGAACUCCCAACAAGGAUCUGACGGCAGUAGGGGUAAUAUAUGUCGUACAAGGCACUGGAUCCCCUCCAAACUCCAUAUUUGUGAUAAACCGCCAAUCUAUCGGCAUCAUCAUCACCUCACAGUCCAGCAAAUGGAGUGACUGAGUCUGGUGAAACCACCGCUCAGACAAUGCCCUGAGGUAACCCCAGGGACAUCGACGGGGAAGAAUGAAAAAGAAUGUCCCAAAUCCCCAGCUAUGUACAAUCUCUCUAUAGUCAUCAUGCAAUGCCUGAUACAUAGAGUGGAUGCUGAACCAGUUCCCUCGAGGCUGUGUAAAGCCAGGAACCUACAUCAAAUGCAGAUCAACAUCAAAAUCCUUUGCUCCUCAUUAAUAGGAAACAAGGAAGAUUAAGAUCUAACUUCAUACCUCGUUUGCGUGCAGGUAAACUGAAGGAUGCCGACUCAAGUCACACAAAAGAUCUGGGUUCGCCACUUGAAUACCUGACAAAUCCCUACGGGGAACACGUGCAGCAAGAGCAGGAACCUCAAUCGGUACAUCCUCCUCCUCAUCCUCGACAUCCAGCACUUUAACCCGGAUAGGACGUAUCACCGCCUCCACCAAAGGACGAGGCUGUCUAACAGAACGGGGUCGAGGUACUUUAGAAGCCCUCCUCCAUACACCAGAAGUGGUCCUGCAGGAACUACUUAGCUGAUCCAGAUCCAUAAUAUCUGGACAAUAAGUCUCCAAAUCACCUCAGAAAGGGUGUGGUAAAUUCUUACCUGGAGCUUUUUAAAAUGCAUUUUAUGAUUAGAUGCAUGCAUGCAUCGUUUUAACAUACAUCUAUAGUAUAGUUAAAAAUGCAUGACUGCACAAUGCCUAUGUUUUGGAAAAAAAAUUCCAUAGCCCCCUUUGUAAAUGGGACUAUCCACAUGCACAUAGGCAUGACUAGGUGGCCAUUUAGUAGCACACCUACCAACAGUCAUAUACAUCUUAAAUGCAUUUAAUACAUCACAGUAAAAAAAAUCCGUAAGUGUAGUUUAAUUACCAGGUUAUUUUACUUUUCUACCUUUACUCAUUUGUCCUCAAAUAGGAUAAGAAAUAACAGUAAAAGGUACCAAUUUGACUAUUUUAAAAGUUAAUUUUUUUCACAUCAUUAUGUUCAGCAUGGUUUAAUACUAACAUUUACUAUGUUGAAUAUUUUUUAUCAUAUCAUAUGAGCAUGCAUAUUCACUACUAUGUGUCUAAAUGCAUUUCAUGUGAUAAGUCAUUUUCCAACGGAUAGAAACUGGAAAAGAAUACAUGCAUAUGUUACCGAAACAGUGAAGAAUGCUUGUACGGUGACAGAAUAUGCAGAAAGUUUCCCGAACUCAGCAGGUUUGAAGAAUAGCUCUCAGAUUUCCUUCGUCGCGCAGCUUGAAAAUGACUUAUGAAAGCAACCCGCAGGGAAUACAUACCCACGGUUGGCCGCAGGUCCACCUGUGACUGCUGCAGGUGUACCCGCGGCACCCCUAUAUGGGUCCCACACCUCCGGCUCGCUCUAGUUAGAGUUGCAAAGAAGGUCUCACAAGCUGAAAAGGCCAAAUUAGGAAUAAAAACGCUACGCGAUUGAGCAGAAUAGCAUGGAAUCCUGGUUUUUAUGGACCAAACUUUGGCUCCACAUCUCACUCAUUGGUAUUCACCUGCAUACAAGGUAUACUAUACAAAUGGCCUCAGCUUUUACAAAUCAUGCUCGACAAUACCUCACAAUGGUCCGAUGCCGUCAGUGUAGGGUCACAACCCUAGAAGUAUCCCCGACGGGGGUUACAACGCCGAAGUUAUGAAAUAUUGAAGUAUCCCCGGCGGGGGUUACAACGCCAAAGUUAUAAAAUAAUGAAGUAUCCCCGGCGGGGGUUACAACGCCGAAGUUAUGAAUUAAUGACGUAUCCCCGGCAGGGGUCAUAAUGCAGAACUUUCAAACAUCUACGUUGUGACGCCCCCAAAAUAGGUAUACAACACCCAUUCUGAGUCGCCAAAUACAUGGUACAGAAAGCAAACUACAACUUCAAUAAUACAAUUGUCGUGUAAAAUACGACAACACAUACUGUGAGUUUAAAUACAAAUAUUGUCUUCUAGACAAUAUCAACACUCAAAUAAAUCCUCAUUACAAUAAUUCAUACACUAUUUUACAGAAAUAGUGAGGACUGUUAAAACAUCUUUCUAGAACCAUCACUCCAUACCCGGACUCGAUCCUGCUAUGUUCUCACCUCCUGAGAAGAAAAAAUGGAACAAAAAGGAAAAAGGUGAGCUCAACUAGCCCAGUAAAGAAUAUUAUGACUAAGAUAAUAUACAACAAAUUAUCAUUAGUCUUCAACAGGGAAAAAUCUGAUAGGACAUAAUAGACAACAAGUUUUAGAUCAACAAAUGCAGCAGAAAUAGCAAUCCAUUAGAAGAGUCACGUAGAGAAAGAAUUCUACUGUCUUCUAAGGUUUAAAAGUCCAUCAUCAAUAGUUUAUCCCUGUAAUAACAAUCAAUAUACAUCUUUAAUCAUCUUUGCACUACAGGCCAAAGAUAUUCAUUUGUAUCACCAGUUGGUCAUGUUCAUCUCAACACCUGUUCAUCUUUGCACUACAGGCCAAAGAUAUUCAUCAGUUNNNNNNNNNNNNNNNNNNNNNNNNNNNNNNNNNNNNNNNNNNNNNNNNNNNNNNNNNNNNNNNNNNNNNNNNNNNNNNNNNNNNNNNNNNNNNNNNNNNNGGAUGAUGAAAAAUAUUUUAAAGAAAACGAAUCCAGUGAGACAGAAGGACAAAUAUUAGGGAUUCGUAUAACAGUUUAUCCAAAAUCAAUAAUACUUCAUAAUAACCAAUUGUGAAGCAGAAUUCAAAAAUAACGAUCAAAACAUGGAUACAAUCAAAGAUAGUAACCAUAAUAGACAUCUUGGACAAAAAGGAAAAAUUUUAUUUUUCGAUGAAUAGUGUCGUAUACGUGAAUAGUUCUGUAUACGUGAAUAGUAAUCCCGACACAAAAAGUUUUAAAUUUGAUUAAAAAGUUCAAACCAAUAUUUCAGAAUAAUGAUAUUGAAAAUAAUAUCAUUUAAGAAGAAAAUAACAUCUCUUACCUCAAAAUAACGAUACUUCUGAUCGAAAUAUCGGAUAGAAAGUCGAAGGAAACUUGUAUUGAACCGUAACUCUCAAAGUAUCAAAAUACUCACAAAAAUACGCUCGAUAAUCUAGAGAGAAAGAAAACUUGUUUCUUGUGUGAUUUUCAAUUCUAACCUAAGCGUCUAUUUAUAGGAAAAUGCUAGAACGCCAUAGGAGACUAAAUAAUAAAAUAAUAUUAUUUAAUUAACAAAUUAUCUACGCAUGCUUUGAAUAAGUCUAGCAUGCCUUCUUUGAAAAACAAACUAGCAACCCACAUGCUUGAAAAACCAAAAGUGGGUCCCACCCAUAAUUUAAUAAAAAUCAUUUUAUUUUUUGAAACUUCAACAAUUCAUAGAAAAUAGCCCGUUUAUUAGAAAAAUACGAAUUUUUUGUCCAUUCCACACAAAAUCGAAUUCUCUACAACUUUGUAGCUUUGAGUUUUUCCAAAUUCCAAAUAAAAAGUAUCCGAAAUUCACAAACGGGUGAUUUUUAAUUCCUCCAUUCUGACAAAAUACUGAUAAAAUACCUCAGCAUUAAUUCCUUCAUUUAUAACCACAUAAAAUAAAUAAAUCCAUCAUUUAUAUCCACAUCAAAUAAAUAUUUCCUUAUCAUAUAAAUCAAUAAUUAAUUAUUCACAAAUAAUAUUACAGAAUCACAAUUAUGACAAUCAGGCCGUUCCCAGGAAAGAGGGGGCUUUCUAAUAAGGAUUUCUCCUUACUGGCGCGCAAUUAGGUGACCAAACCUCUCCUUGACAGAACUUUCUAGACAUUGCCAAUAAUGCUUAUCUAAUAAUAUUAUUCAAAUAAUAUGAAUUAUUGAUCUGAUAAUGGAAAAUACUGUGCAAUGACAAUUAUUGAAACAACAAUAAUAUAAACUAUCAACGCAGCAAUUAUUGAAUCAAUAAAAUAAAAUAUUGAACAGUAACUACUGUAACAAUUCUUAAGUAGUGCCUUCUUACGUAUGAAUCAAUAAUUCAACAAUACUGUGCAAUACCGUGUGCUACUGUGCAACCACGCGUAUUACUGUAUUUUAACCACCAGGUAUUCCAACAGUGUUAACGAUAACAAUUACGCCGUUAUUUAUAAAACUGAACUUUAUCGUUUUCUUCAUCCAACAGUUAUUCCGUUAUGGGGCCCUCAAUUGACUGCGUCGUCGUACGGAUAUUCCCGACAAAAAGAAUAUUUCACGACCAAACGAAUAUUCUCCGACAAAAUGAAUAUUUUAUAACCACUUGCUUAUUUUGCAAAAUUUGCACAUUUCACCCAUAACCAAAGUAUUAUAUCAAAUUAACUCCUUAUUAUUUCAAGAUAAUAAAUAGAUAAAAUUUUAAUUUUAUUUAUAAUAAGCUGGGGUCUUACAUAUGAACCCCGGCGGGGGUUACAGCUCAUUCUCAACCAUUGAUACACAAAUCAAUGAAGGUCAAGCAACCUUGACGUUAUCUCAGCUGAUGGCAAGUAAUCCCAUCGAAGUAACCUUCCCUAGCAAGGGUCACAACGCGAUGCAACCAUUGAUACACACAUCAAUGAAGGUCAAGCAGCUUUGGCAAUGCACCCAACAGGGAUCUAUCCGAUGAUACACACAUCAGCGAAGGUCGGGCAGCCCUAACAAUACAUACUGUUGGCCGUAACUCCAACAAAAUUGUGGUACAUGCUGGUGAUACAAGCCAGAGAAGACCAUCCUCAUCGGAGAGGACCAAUAAUGGAAUAUGUUAUACACAUCCUCAAAUAGACGAAGCUUUCUCCCCACAGAUCUCUUGUACACAAGAGGUACCUAUAUAGAGUAAAAGUCUGUGUCUGGGAUUCAGGACUUUGGUUAUAGCCCCAAAGUCAAGCAUCCUUGAAGACUUGGAUCGCAUGUCUAAGACAUCAGUGAUUGUCAUCCUAAUAGGAUUAACCGAUAAUCAUACAUCAUACAUUUGCAUUAUGUUGCUGCACAUAGCAUCAUGUUUAUUUUGUUGCAUUUCAAGUGUCUAGGAUUCUUUAUCCUAUCCAUGCCUUGCAUUGCAUGAAUAUGAUAAAGAGGGGCAUCUGUAAACACUCAAAAUUUUCUGCACACAUGUUACUAACAUUGCAGGAGCACAGAUUCGUCUUUCGGGGAUAACCUUGGAAGCCAGUUCACAUCCAUUCCAGAUACUACCGAAAGUUCAGUUCUAACCCCGGAAUACACACCGGGAACAUCAUUUCCAACCCCGGAACACACACCAGAAGGAUCAUUUCCAACCUCAGAGAUAACCCCAAGUUUUGUCCUUGGCGAUAACACCAAGGAAUGUCGUUGCAGUUUCGGCGAUAACUCCGAAAAUGCUUAUUUCAAAUGCAUACGAUCAGCUUCAAUCAGACCUCCUGCCGAGGCACUCAUACCUCAAGCCCGGAGCAAACACCGGGCAAACAGGCACUCUUACAGAUGACCUUGCGGCAUACAAACACUUGCAGCAGUCCAAUCUCAAAUGUAACCCUGAGCAACCUCUGCUUUCAACUCAAACCGGAGAUAACCCCGGUGAGGACUCAAACGUCAUCUUGCCACCUCAACACCUAUGCGUCGUCUCAACACUUUAUACAUACAUACAUACAUACAUACAUACAACAAUGUUCUACAAGAACCAAGGAUUUCCAAUCCCGAGUGACUAUUACGCGUGGCAGCACACCGGAUAGAAUUUGAAGCUUGAAGACCAUGGGCAUGGUUCCCUCUUUCUGACUUCGUACAACCUCUAAUCCAUGUCAUUGCAUAACUCUCGACACAAGCAGUCCGAAGAAGGUCUUAUAUACCUCGUUCGGAUGCUCGGAUUGAAGUUCUGCAAGUUCGAACGGACAUUACAGUGCACGAGUGCACAUACUUCGAGACGACGGGACCCGCGGAGCUCGGGGUAGCCCGGGCAGCCGCAGGUGCAUCUGUGGCUACCGUAGGUACACCUGCGGCUCCCCCCUCUAUAAAUAGAGGGCUUGGGGUGGCCAUUUAAAAAAGAAAAAGGCGAGGAAGCCCUGUCAAAUUUGCUUUGUACACACCCAUAUUGAGUGCUUGCUCUUUUUAAACACAUGUUAGCUCACAUAUAGCUAUUCAUUUACCGGUGGGAGCUGAGUGUUUAUCUAUAUAGAGUCAUAGAAGUCUGCAUUGGCAGCCCACUGUAAGCCUUCUCACACUCUAUAAAGCCUUUCUCUUCAUCUUUGCACACACUAUUCUACACAUUGAGAGUCGUGUUAUAUGUGUAUGCCCAGAUUUCGAUCCGUGGUUUUCAUUUUAGUCUGUAUAUAUAUACUUAUAUAUGUAUAUAUUUAUAUAUGGACUAACAUUAUCGAUUUAUGCCUCGAUUGAGCCUAGACUUAUGUUUGGAGCGUUUACUUGCUUUUAUAUAUAUAUAUAUAUAUAUAUAUAUAAAUAAUUGUUGUCAGACAUAUCUGAUGAGCCUGGAGUUUACUUCGUGGCGGUUGAUCGCAUUUACUGCUUUAUUUACUUUUCUGAUCCCCCAUAGAGUCGCUUCGUGGUGGUUGAUCAUGUCCAUAUAUAUAUAUAUAUUUACAGCUUUUAUAUAUAUAACUGCUUACUUCUUAACUUCAUUCAAAUUGUUGAAUUGGAUACAAGUUUCAUGUUUUUGUGAAAAUAGAUUAUAUUUGUACAAGUUUUUGACCUAUGAAUUGUGUUGGUUGCUAAUAUAUGCACUUAUGUGCUUCCGUGAAAGCAAUGUUAUGUUAUUGAACUGUUUAAGUUGUUAAAAAAAUUUCAUUCAUUUUUCUUCACCAAUUUACAAAAGAAAAGCUAUAUCUCCUUGCCUACAUACUCUCUCUCUAAAGAAGCUUUCUCUCUAUUUUCUACUCAAAAUUCUAAUCUUUUAAAGAAAAGAAAAUUGGCUAAAGUAUUUAGGAUAAGUUAUUAAAUUGUUGUAUUUAUAUUAUCUCAUACUUGCUUAUAUUUAUAGAUAUACAAAUAUAAUUUGUUAUACAUAUAUAUAUAUAUAUAUAUAUAUAUAUAUAUAUAUAUUUCGUCUAUCAUAUCAUAUAAAAAGUAAGUACUUAGAUAGCGAAAUAAUUCAAAAGUUUUUCUCUGAAAUCUUUCGAACGGUUUUUAAAAUCCUAAGUGGCCUUUUAUUGAUAUAGAUAAUUUAUAUAAAUAUUGCAAAAUAUUUAUAUAAAUAUUAGUUAUGAACAACCAAAUCUAGUAAGUACUUAGAUAUCGAUAUUUAAAGAUAUUCCUUAAAUAAGAAUAUUAUCUGAAUGAUCUUUGAAAUCCUAAGUGGCCAAAUUUUCAAAAUGUAGAUCAAAUUUAUUAUAAUAUAUAUUUGAGUGAAACAAAUUAAUUUGCUAUAUGAAGUAUUAUUUAAUUGAUUGAUCUACUAUACUUGAUAUCUGUCGUCAUAAGUAUUUUGAACAUAAAUUCAUUUAUUCAUAAAAAUACUUGUUGCAUAAAUAUAAAAGUUACUUAAACUUUUAUAUCACAAACUUCAGAGAUUUUAUCUUCUUAAAAAAAACAUAUCACUUUCUAUAAAAGUUAUUUAAACUUUUAUAUCAAUACUCAAAGUUAUAUUUGUUUUACAUAGAAACAAAUUCUUUAUUUAUAAAGAAAAGUAAAAUGUAACACCCCAGAAACCCAGUCUAUCUUCAAACUCGAGUUCAUCACGGUACUACCUAUCCAGUAUAUUCUUAAGACAUGAAUGUAAUUAAUAUAUUAUCACAACAUAUCAUUGCAAAUCCCAGGUUCUAUGGCCUUUACAUCUAUAAAUUAUAAUAUUAAUAAAUAUUACAUCAUGCAAAUAUUAUAAUUACAACAAACUAUUACAUUACAAUAAGUAAUCCUCUAAGUCUUCUUCUUUAACAAUUCCUUUUGCUUAAUAUCAUCUGACUAUUCAAGUCCAUCCACUCUAGCUGCAAAAUUUUAGAGUUUUGCAAGGGUGAGCAUUUAAUUGCCCAGCAAGUUAUAACAGUUGAAUAAACAACAAAAUCAAGAAUCUAUUCAUCAUUCUUUGAAAACUUCGUCAACAAAACAAUAGUUGAGAAGUAGUUCAAAUAAAUAGGAAUAACUUAAAUCUCUUUCAUUCUUCAGCAUCACAAUCUCUAAUAACUAGUCCUACCGACUUUCACCUAUUUUUUUCAUAAAUCCUAUAUUUUAACAUCAACAGUGUCUACAUCAUCAUUAUAUCACAAUGUGUUUAUUACCAUGUACAUCUUAACACGUGUCCAGCUAAAACAAUUAGCAUGAACUUAAUCAUAACGCAAUUCAUGCAUCAACAAAGCUGUAACAGCUUAUACAAUUCAACAACAUAACAAUUCCUUCACGAAAGCACAUACGUGCAGAUAAUGGCAAACAACACAAUUCAUAGUUAAAUAACUUGUACAAAUAUAAUCUAUUUGCACAAACAACAUGAAACUUGCAUCCAAUUCAACAAUUUGAAGGAAGUAAGGAAACUUGUACAAAACAACUAUCUUGUACAGGUUAUAAAACUUACUAAAUUACAACAUUAGAGUAAGUUAAGAAACUUGCUUUAAGCGUUCUUCUUCUUCUUCUUCUUAGCCUUAAUCACCCCUUGAUCUUGAUCUUCUUCCUCUCCCACUUGAUCCAGCUAGCUAUCCCUCUUUUCUCUCCAAUUUGUUAGAGUUUCCUCUCUUAAUUUUGAUAAAUUAGUGAGUUCUAACUGAAGGAGGAAGGGCAUAUUUAUAGAUAACUCAAGACUUAGCCGCUACGUCUCAUGUUUUAAUAAGCUUGACACCUCUUGUUAAAUUAAGCUUUACAAGGCUUAUAGUCAGCCAUCUCAUGCUAGGUUUUACCUUGACAAUGCUUAUGAUCAACCAUCUCGUGCUCGAUUUUAGUUUGACAAGGCUUAUGGUCAACCACCUCGUGCUAGCUUUUAGCUUGGCAAUGCUUAUGAUCAACCACCUCGUGCUAGGUUGUAGCUUGAUAAUGCAGCUUGCAACUAAAAAUAUCUUCCAACUAGCUUGGUCAGAAUUUUUUAGUUGAUUGUGGGGUUGAUUAGUGGCAACGUACUUAAGUCGUGCUUUAGAUUUUGACCAACUAUAGAAAAACCAAAUCCAUAUACUUUGAUCUGAUUGGUCUAAUGUGGUUUCUUAGUUACUUAAUCAUUAAGCCUAAGUAGCUUACAAGUUACUAAACUUGAAAGCACGACUGUGACAACCGAGAUUUUGUAAUUUAAUUUUUUAAUAUUUAUUGAAUGAAAUAAAUAUUUUUUGAUGAAUUAAUUAUUAGAUUAAAUAAUUAAUUGAUGAAAUUGUGGUAGAUUAAUUUAAUUAUAUGUGUUAUAUUUAUUAAAUUAAUGUGAAGAAUUUUUAUUAUUCGAAGCAUGUAUUUAUGUGAGCUUAUUGAAUUAAAAGGGAAUAUUUAAUAAGCCUAAUGUUAUUUUAAUUAAUUUAAUAAUUAAUUAUAGAUUUAAUAAUUUGAUAUUAUUAAUAAAUGAGAAUUUAAUUAUUUAACUAUGUGAAUUAAUGAGAAAUUAUUUUAUUUUAUUUAAAAUAAAUUAAACUAGAUAUUUGAUUUAUUUUAUAAAGGGUGUGACAUUUUUCAAACUAUAUUAUAAAGGUUUUAUUAAAUUAAUUUGAUAUAAGCCUUUAAGGCUAGCCAAAUGAGGCCUUAAGAGGAGUUGGGGGCAGUUAAACCACGUAUGGAGUAACUGACCUCAACUCUGCGCAUAAAGGCUCAGUUGGCAUUAUUCUACGUAUUCUUCAUUUUAGAGUAAAUUGAGAGUCAGAGAGAAUUCAGAGAAUUGUUAAGUGAAUUGUGAUUGAAGAAGAGUUGAGAAGGAAUUCUUCUCCUGCAAAUUUACAUUCUAUGCUUUGGCUAAUCUCUUCAACCCAAUCCCUAUUUUACGUCAUUUAGUUUUGUAAAAAAAAUGGCUUUCAUUCAUUCUGUAAAGUCUUUGUAAAUGGGAAAUUGUGCUGUUAUAUGGAUAUAUGUAAUAAUACGAGUAGUAUAACAUGUUUUAUAUAUAUUGUAUAUGGCUCCAUAUCAUAAGUUUCAUAAUAUUAUAACUAUAUGUUAUGGCCUCAAAAAUUACAGAGUAGAGAAAUAUG
Molecule: long non-coding RNA, 14798 nt
Filed under: Panax ginseng (ginseng)
Lineage: Eukaryota; Viridiplantae; Streptophyta; Magnoliopsida; Apiales; Araliaceae
Description: long non-coding RNA (PGIN_LNC004978)
Rfam family: Bacterial small subunit ribosomal RNA (bases 3472-3656)
Source: RNAcentral